Molecule: ribosomal RNA, 253 nt
Filed under: uncultured bacterium
Lineage: Bacteria
Description: partial 16S ribosomal RNA
Rfam family: Bacterial small subunit ribosomal RNA
Source: RNAcentral
UACGUAGGGGGCAAGCGUUGUCCGGAAUUAUUGGGCGUAAAGAGCGUGUAGGCGGUCCGGUAAGUCAGCUGUGAAAGUCAAGGGCUCAACCCUUGAAUGCCGGUUGAUACUGUCGGGCUAGAGUCCGGAAGAGGCGAGUGGAAUUCCCGGUGUAGCGGUGAAAUGCGCAGAUAUCGGGAGGAACACCAAUGGCGAAGGCAGCUCGCUGGGACGGUACUGACGCUGAGACGCGAAAGCGUGGUGAGCAAACAGG